GUGGGGAAUUUUGGACAAUGGGCGCAAGCCUGAUCCAGCAAUGCCGCGUGCAGGAAGAAGGCCUUCGGGUUGUAAACUGCUUUUGUACGGAACGAAACGGUCCUGGUUAAUACCUGGGGCUCAUGACGGUACCGUAAGAAUAAGCACCGGCUAACUACGUGCCAGCAGCCGCGGUAAUACGUAGGGUGCAAGCGUUAAUCGGAAUUACUGGGCGUAAAGCGUGCGCAGGCGGUUUUGUAAGACAGACGUGAAAUCCCCGGGCUCAACCUGGGAAUGGCGUUUGGGACUGCAAAGCUGGAGUGCGGCAGAGGGGGAUGGAAUUCCGCGUGUAGCAGUGAAAUGCGUAGAUAUGCGGAGGAACACCGAUGGCGAAGGCAAUCCCCUGGGCCUGCACUGACGCUCAUGCACGAAAGCGUGGGGAGCAAACAGGAUUAGAAACCCGGGUAGCC
RNAcentral lists this ribosomal RNA (449 nucleotides) under uncultured bacterium. RNAcentral's name for it is "partial 16S ribosomal RNA". It matches the Rfam family "Bacterial small subunit ribosomal RNA", at positions 354 to 795 of the family's 1533-position model. The record is from RNAcentral.